RNAcentral lists this ribosomal RNA (357 nucleotides) under uncultured bacterium. RNAcentral describes it as "bacterial SSU rRNA". It matches the Rfam family "Bacterial small subunit ribosomal RNA", at positions 29 to 413 of the family's 1533-position model. The record is from RNAcentral.
AACGAACGCUGGCGGCAUGCCUAACACAUGCAAGUCGAACGAGACCUUCGGGUCUAGUGGCGCACGGGUGCGUAACGCGUGGGAACCUGCCUUUAGGUUCGGAAUAACAGUGAGAAAUUACUGCUAAUACCGGAUGAUGUCUUCGGACCAAAGAUUUAUCGCCUUUAGAUGGGCCCGCGUUGGAUUAGCUAGUUGGUGGGGUAAAGCCUACCAAGGCGACGAUCCAUAGCUGGUCUGAGAGGAUGAUCAGCCACACUGGGACUGANACACGGCCCAGACUCCUACGGGAGGCAGCAGUGGGGAAUAUUGGACAAUGGGCGAAAAGCCUGACGCAGCCAUGCCGCGUGAACGAUGAAG